RNAcentral lists this ribosomal RNA (1446 nucleotides) under Streptomyces phaeochromogenes. Its description in RNAcentral is "bacterial SSU rRNA". It matches the Rfam family "Bacterial small subunit ribosomal RNA". The record is from RNAcentral. Lineage: Bacteria; Bacillati; Actinomycetota; Actinomycetes; Kitasatosporales; Streptomycetaceae.
GUUACGCAUGCAAGUCGAACGAUGAAGCCCUUCGGGGUGGAUUAGUGGCGAACGGGUGAGUAACACGUGGGCAAUCUGCCCUUCACUCUGGGACAAGCCCUGGAAACGGGGUCUAAUACCGGAUAAUACCUGCCUGGGCAUCUGGGUGGGUUAAAAGCUCCGGCGGUGAAGGAUGAGCCCGCGGCCUAUCAGCUUGUUGGUGAGGUAGUGGCUCACCAAGGCGACGACGGGUAGCCGGCCUGAGAGGGCGACCGGCCACACUGGGACUGAGACACGGCCCAGACUCCUACGGGAGGCAGCAGUGGGGAAUAUUGCACAAUGGGCGAAAGCCUGAUGCAGCGACGCCGCGUGAGGGAUGACGGCCUUCGGGUUGUAAACCUCUUUCAGCAGGGAAGAAGCGAAAGUGACGGUACCUGCAGAAGAAGCGCCGGCUAACUACGUGCCAGCAGCCGCGGUAAUACGUAGGGCGCAAGCGUUGUCCGGAAUUAUUGGGCGUAAAGAGCUCGUAGGCGGCUUGUCACGUCGGUUGUGAAAGCCCGGGGCUUAACCCCGGGUCUGCAGUCGAUACGGGCAGGCUAGAGUGUGGUAGGGGAGAUCGGAAUUCCUGGUGUAGCGGUGAAAUGCGCAGAUAUCAGGAGGAACACCGGUGGCGAAGGCGGAUCUCUGGGCCAUUACUGACGCUGAGGAGCGAAAGCGUGGGGAGCGAACAGGAUUAGAUACCCUGGUAGUCCACGCCGUAAACGGUGGGAACUAGGUGUUGGCGACAUUCCACGUCGUCGGUGCCGCAGCUAACGCAUUAAGUUCCCCGCCUGGGGAGUACGGCCGCAAGGCUAAAACUCAAAGGAAUUGACGGGGGCCCGCACAAGCAGCGGAGCAUGUGGCUUAAUUCGACGCAACGCGAAGAACCUUACCAAGGCUUGACAUCGCCCGGAAAGCAUCAGAGAUGGUGCCCCCCUUGUGGUCGGGUGACAGGUGGUGCAUGGCUGUCGUCAGCUCGUGUCGUGAGAUGUUGGGUUAAGUCCCGCAACGAGCGCAACCCUUGUUCUGUGUUGCCAGCAUGCCCUUCGGGGUGAUGGGGACUCACAGGAGACUGCCGGGGUCAACUCGGAGGAAGGUGGGGACGACGUCAAGUCAUCAUGCCCCUUAUGUCUUGGGCUGCACACGUGCUACAAUGGCAGGUACAAUGAGCUGCGAUGCCGCGAGGCGGAGCGAAUCUCAAAAAGCCUGUCUCAGUUCGGAUUGGGGUCUGCAACUCGACCCCAUGAAGUCGGAGUUGCUAGUAAUCGCAGAUCAGCAUUGCUGCGGUGAAUACGUUCCCGGGCCUUGUACACACCGCCCGUCACGUCACGAAAGUCGGUAACACCCGAAGCCGGUGGCCCAACCCCCUUGUGGGGAGGGAGCUGUCGAAGGUGGGACUGGCGAUUGGGACGAAGUCGCAACUCCCUC